AAGCAAAAAAUAUGCCUAGAAAUAUGAAUUGAAAAGAGCAUUCAUUUGGUUUGUUUACACUUUUUUUGCCAAGCGAGAGCUAUCCCGAGGUCAUGACGUCAGAAGUUUAUUAAUAACCAGGGAAUUCCACAUUCAACACCCCUAUUUCUGGAUGUGAAUAUUUAUCUAACAUAUUGCUCUAUCAUGUGGUCAAAGAUAUUUUGGAAAUGAAGAUUUUUAAAAAAGUUACAAAGAAAAUAAAACACAUGUUUUUACUAUAUAAGUCUAUAUGUAAGCUAAUUGUGGUCCGGGUCCUUAUGAUGGGGUGUUUGAGGGUUUCCCCUGAAUUUAUUUUUAAAGAUAUGACAAUGAAAUUUUGACAGGAGGUGGGUUAUGCAUUUUGAAAUAGUUUCAUAAAAUUUUUUUAAAAAUAUUUAAAUAUUUUAAAAUUAAUUUUUAUAAAAAUUAAAAUUUUUUGAGUGAUUGAAAAAAUAUUGAAAUUAUGCAUCCCAGAAUGCAAUAUUUCAGGGGAAUUGAUAUGUCGGUGAAAGAGGUCACAUUAGUGCAUCCAUUGACCACGAAGAUAGUUCCUUUUUAAAAAUAGAAAAACUGUUUUGUAAUGUGUAUUUGCAUGUGUAUUCUUAAUAAGGGGUCCCUUUGAAGUCAUAGAUGAAAGACGAGGUGUUUAUUGGAAAUGACAGACAAGCUAUCCAUUGAUUUCCCCCACCCAAAAUAAGGCGCAAUAAGAAGGUGGUGAUUGGGCCAAUAUUUACAAUAACAUGUGCAUGGAUUUAUUUGCAGGAAACCGCACGUGGAAAUGGGAUUCAGGCUUUGCCCGACUCAUAAUUGCACAUGCAGGCAGAGGUUGUGUAUUGGAGUUUAUAAUUUCAGGUGCAGGGAUGUCAGUUUGUUUGGGGCGAGGAUAUAAGACUGAUUCCACCAGUUGUGUCUGUCUCCACCUUCACACACCACUGAAUUCCUUCGACAUUUUGAACAGUCUCCUGAGUAGCAGAGGAUGGUACUUUCUACGACAAGAGGAAGUUUACUACAGAUGAUGUUGAUGUCUCCAGUGUAGGGGAACAUCUCGGGGCUGAAGUGGGCACUGCGACACUGCCGGAACUGGGCUCUGCUGACAUGGGUUGUGUCGGCCAGUCGAGUGACUUGCCAGUCUGGAUGAAAAAUUCGCAUGGCAUCUUGGAAUCCCUGGGCUGACCGGGCAUCACCGUCUGUUGUGGCGUGCUUCACCUUGAACCCGUCCGCUGCCAGAUCUUCGCCUAUGGAUUUAGCCAUCUCGUACUCUGAAAGAGGGCUAGAGUGGCUGUGUUGACCUGGUUGCUGGCCCUUUGCAUGGAACUGCGGUUAGGAGGUGGAAUGUCCAAGGCAGCUACCAUUUCCCGACUGCGUCGAUUCCCCAUGGAGGUGUUCUGCAGGGCUAAUUGAAAGUUCCAGUUGAUACUGGCAGGAUUAGGGCCUGGUUUGUUAAAGCUCCUGGCAUGGCUCAGGUCUGGGACGAAGGAUCGGUGUCCUUGAGAUGUUUUCCUGGCCUUCAGCAAGGGGAUGUGCUGUCUCGGUCUCUGGGGAUCCCUGGAUGUUUGACGCUGAACUUGAAGCUCCUGCGGCGUUUGACGUAGCCUGAUGAGCCUUAAUAUAAUGAGUGUUCCCUUUUUUAAAUCCAAAAUUAAGAUUUUUUCUUCUUUUACGGUCACCUUUCAUUGUUUUCAUGUGUAGUGAAGAGUGGAUUUGAAAGCAAGAUUGAAUUAUGACAAUGUUUAUUUGGACACUUUUUUAGUGGUAUUUACUGCAAUAUAUUCCUUUGACAAUCACCUGUCAAAACAGACUCCCAUAGGGUAUUAAGAUUACCUAUACAAAGACUCUUAGCCAAUCAGCUGCACAUGGCCCCUCUUCACAGUCAGGAAAAAGGAUAUGGGGGUGGGCUUAAAAAUCUGUUUAUUUUGAAUGUUAUGUACACUUUUAUCAGUAAUGUGAUACAUCAUUUGAUUUAUGAAUAAAUGUACUUUAAAUGUU
Molecule: long non-coding RNA, 2004 nt
Organism: Saccostrea cuccullata (small rock oyster)
Lineage: Eukaryota; Metazoa; Mollusca; Bivalvia; Ostreida; Ostreidae
Exons: 5
Source: RefSeq, a predicted model, not a curated record